UCUUCAACCAAAUAACUAUCCUGAUAUGGGGGGGUGGAACUGAAAACCUGUACCUUCAGAAUCUAUGUAAAUCCGCAGCCGCACAAUGGUCCAGAUGAAGCGUUUGAUGUGUUGCUACUGCAUGUUGUUGGCGUCUUCUAGUGGUGUACUACAAGAAUGCACGCGACGCGAUGUUUCCCACUAUGCUUUGCGGGCGGAAGAAGCCCAGAAGAAUAGUUUUAUUUACGCAUGCGCAUCCGUCUUCCUUCCUUUUCGACAUUCUACUCGAACGAGACAAGAUGGGACAUCAGAGCCUCUACUGGAGUCACCCAAGAAAAUUCGGUCAGGGAUCCCGAUCCUGCCGGGUAUGCUCGAACAGACACGGUCUGAUCCGUAAAUACGG
Molecule: long non-coding RNA, 382 nt
Organism: Oncorhynchus nerka (sockeye salmon)
Lineage: Eukaryota; Metazoa; Chordata; Actinopteri; Salmoniformes; Salmonidae
Exons: 2
Source: RefSeq, a predicted model, not a curated record